RNAcentral lists this ribosomal RNA (479 nucleotides) under uncultured bacterium. RNAcentral's name for it is "bacterial SSU rRNA". It matches the Rfam family "Bacterial small subunit ribosomal RNA", at positions 17 to 518 of the family's 1533-position model. The record is from RNAcentral.
UUCUGGCUCAGGAUUAACGCUGGCGGCAUGCCUAAUACAUGCAAGUCGAAUGGUUAGCUUGCUAACCAUGGCAACGGGUGAGUAACACGUAGGUAACCUGUCUUCAAGACGAGGAUAACCAUUGGAAACGAUGGAUAAUACUGGAUAGGACAAAUCCCCGCAUGAGGAGAUGUUUAAAGGGGCAAUCCACUUGAUGAGGGGCCUGCGGUGCAUUAGUUAGUUGGUGAGGUAACGGCCCACCAAGACGAUGAUGCAUAGCCGGACUGAGAGGUUGAACGGCCACAAUGGAACUGAGAACGGUCCAUACUCCUACGGGAGGCAGCAGUAGGGAAUUUUCGGCAAUGGGCGGAAAGCCUGACCGAGCAAUGCCGCGUGAAUGAAGAAGUAUUUCGGUAUGUAAAGUUCUUUUAUUUGGGAAGAAAAAACAAAUUGACGGUACCAAAUGAAUAAGCUCCGGCUAACUACGUGCCAGCCGCCGC